This 165-nucleotide small nuclear RNA is filed under the name Gadus morhua (Atlantic cod). Its description in RNAcentral is "U1 spliceosomal RNA (ENSGMOG00000024334.1)". It matches the Rfam family "U1 spliceosomal RNA". Rfam says of the family: U1 is a small nuclear RNA (snRNA) component of the spliceosome (involved in pre-mRNA splicing). Lineage: Eukaryota; Metazoa; Chordata; Actinopteri; Gadiformes; Gadidae. The record is from Rfam by way of RNAcentral.
AUACUUACCUGGCAAGGGAGAUACCAUGAUCAAGAAGGUGGUUCACCCAUGGCGAGGCUCAGCCAUUGCACUGAGGCUGUUGCUGACCCGUGCGAAUUCCCCAAAUGUGGGAAUCUCGAUUGCAUAAUUUCUGGUAGUGGGGGACUGCGUUCGCGCUCUCCCCUG